AUAUGCAAGAAGGACCAAAUUGAGUACAACUUGCCUUCUUGAUGCAAUACAGCAUAAUUAAUAAGUAAAGUUGCUUAAUAUCUUAAUGUUUUUACCCAAAAGGUUGCAUCUGUAAACUAAGGCUUUAUUUAAUUCAUACUUAUCUUAAAUUAGUUAAUUAUUAAUCCUAAUUACCUUAAUUAAUUCUUAAUUAACUACUAAUGACAGUAAUUAAGCAUUAAGGCUAAAUAAUAAUUAAAUGCCAUAGGUUAUUAGGGUUAAUGACCUCAGGUCAUCACACAAUCCCAAAAUCACUCAACCCUAAUUAUGAGGAUCUAAAUAAUCACUAUUUAAUUAUUUUGGAAUUAUUAUUUAAGUGCUAAAUAAGGGUUUAUUAGUAUUUUAAGCAAACAUUAUCCAAAUGCCACCAAAUUUUGUGUGGAGCCAGGGAAUAAUAGUCAGAGGCUCCCCACAAUUUUUGGUGAUUUUUGGACAUACAAAUAAAUUAUUAAAAUUCCUAGAAGUUUUAUUUACUAAUUAAAGAGCCAAUUUUUAUGGACAGGCAAACCAUCAGAGAAACAAAUUCCAAUAUUUUUCCUAUGCUCUAAAUAUUCUCUGGAACUUACACAAAAAGUUUCACUGUUUUUGGAUCACUACACAAUUUCCUACAUAAUUUCAAACAUCAAACAAAACUUGCAUAAAAAGGAGAAAAGAAAAAAAAAGAAAACAAAACUGCGCAGUGGGCGGCCUGGAAAUUGGCCCGCAGGCCGGCCCACGCGCGCUCGGCCCACAACCGUGCUGCACGCGCUGCCCCCCUCUCUCUCAGCGGUCACUGACGAGCGGGUCCCGCUCGUCAGGCCCUCUCUCUGCGGGACGCUGACGGGGCGACCCCACCCGUCAGCUGCGUCCUCACCGCGCACGGCGGUUUGGCCACGGCUCCGGCUGCCGUUGGCGAGGGUCUCGGCCGGAGUGCGCGUGCGCAUCGGCUUCACUUCAACUCCGCGACACUGUGGACACCCCCUACCCACGCUCUACCCUACCUCUUCCACCUCGGUCACGAGAAGGGCGGGCAGCCGCCAUGGCCGACCCUCGGCCGGCCGCUAGGGCCC
Molecule: long non-coding RNA, 1088 nt
Filed under: Sorghum bicolor (sorghum)
Lineage: Eukaryota; Viridiplantae; Streptophyta; Magnoliopsida; Poales; Poaceae
Description: long non-coding RNA (SBIC_LNC014101)
Source: RNAcentral